GACGAACGCUGGCGGCGUGCUUAACACAUGCAAGUCGAACGCUGAAGCUCAGCUUUUGUUGGGUGGAUGAGUGGCGAACGGGUGAGUAACACGUGAGUAACCUGCCUCCUUCUUUGGGAUAACGCCCGGAAACGGGUGCUAAUACUGGAUAUUCACUGGUCUUCGCAUGGGGGUUGGUGGAAAGGGUUUUUCUGGUGGGGGAUGGGCUCGCGGCCUAUCAGCUUGUUGGUGGGGUGAUGGCCUACCAAGGCUUUGACGGGUAGCCGGCCUGAGAGGGUGACCGGUCACAUUGGGACUGAGAUACGGCCCAGACUCCUACGGGAGGCAGCAGUGGGGAAUAUUGCACAAUGGGCGCAAGCCUGAUGCAGCGACGCCGCGUGAGGGAUGGAGGCCUUCGGGUUGUGAACUUCUUUCGCUCAUGGUCAAGCCGCAACAAUGGUAGUGGUGAGGGUAGUGGGUAAAGAAGCGCCGGCUAACUACGUG
Molecule: ribosomal RNA, 483 nt
Filed under: uncultured bacterium
Lineage: Bacteria
Description: partial 16S ribosomal RNA
Rfam family: Bacterial small subunit ribosomal RNA
Source: RNAcentral